RNAcentral lists this ribosomal RNA (270 nucleotides) under uncultured bacterium. Its description in RNAcentral is "partial 16S ribosomal RNA". It matches the Rfam family "Bacterial small subunit ribosomal RNA", at positions 28 to 316 of the family's 1533-position model. The record is from RNAcentral.
GAUGAACGCUGGCGGCGUGCCUAACACAUGCAAGUCGAACGCUCGCAAGAGAGUGGCGCACGGGUGAGUAACACGUAGCUAAUCUGCCUUCAAGACAAGGAUAACUGUAGGAAACUACUGCUAAUACUUGAUAAGCUUACGGACCGUAGAGGUCUAUAAGAAAGAUUUAUCGCUUGAGGAUGAGGCUGCGCGCCAUCAGCUAGUUGGUAAGGUAAUGGCUUACCAAGGCGACGACGGCUAGGGGACCUGAGAGGGUGACCCCCACACUGG